RNAcentral lists this ribosomal RNA (425 nucleotides) under uncultured bacterium. Its description in RNAcentral is "partial 16S ribosomal RNA". It matches the Rfam family "Bacterial small subunit ribosomal RNA", at positions 354 to 796 of the family's 1533-position model. The record is from RNAcentral.
GUGGGGAAUCUUAGACAAUGGGCGCAAGCCUGAUCUAGCCAUGCCGCGUGAGCGAUGAAGGCCUUAGGGUUGUAAAGCUCUUUCAGUGGGGAAGAUAAUGACUGUACCCACAGAAGAAGCCCCGGCUAACUCCGUGCCAGCAGCCGCGGUAAUACGGAGGGGGCUAGCGUUGUGCGGAAUUACUGGGCGUAAAGCGCACGUAGGCGGUCUGGAUAGUCAGGGGUGAAAUCCCGGGGCUCAACCCCGGAACUGCCUUUGAAACUCCCAGUCUUGAGGUCGAGAGAGGUGAGUGGAAAUCCGAGUGUAGAGGUGAAAUUCGUAGAUAUUCGGAGGAACACCAGUGGCGAAGGCGGCUCACUGGCUCGAUACUGACGCUGAGGUGCGAAAGCGUGGGGAGCAAAAGGGAUUAGAAACCCCUGUAGUCC